CCUACAGGGAGUGGCCGCCAAACAGUACAAAACAAUUAACGCUACUGCGCCGCUAUCAAAGGCUCGCAGAGAAAACAGUGAGCCACGCAUGGCUGGAGCGAGGGCUCGACGGAGAGAGAAAUGAGUGUAGUCACAUCAAAAACCAGCGGAGCAGGAGUCUGAUUUAGUACAAAAGGCUGCAAUUAGCACGGCACAUUAGGAGCACAUGGCAGGGCAACUCCCUCACUGCGCCUGUUUGGGACACACAAGGGCCGACUCCGCCUGGGAGCCCGACGCUCCACACAUGACAUUUUGAGACUGUGGCUGCACUGGCGGUAAGAGCUGCAUGUUUCACUAAACCUUGUAGCAGCAGCUCUGACUUCUUCAGAGGCAGCAGACCCGCAUUAAGCUGCCAGCUGACGCCCCCUGUUGGUCGACCUGAGACAGGUUUUGAACUGCAGAGCGGACACACCGCUGAGGAUGUGAUGAAAAGAUGAGAAAUCAACCAGCUAUGCCCAAAAAUGGAGCCAAGAAGCUUUGAGUCAUAAAUCACAGGCACCACCUUCUGUGAGGUGAAAGGUGUGUUUUUCUUUUGUUUUUGCCUGCAGCCAUCCAUGCAAACGCACCGCAUGCUCAAAUAACCAACAGCGUGGCCUUCAGGCAGGCGGAGACAUCGACACUCAGGCCACGUUCAAAAGGGAGGAUGCGCCGCUUCUCCCCUCGGCCGACAUUGCGAAGGUCUCUUCUGCCUUAAUCCUCUUUGACUUUAUUCAUGCAAAGGUCAUCUCUGAUUCUCCAAAUGGAGGAGGCGAUGGUUGUGGAGGGUCUCUGAGGAGGGAAAACUACGGUUGAGCCUGGAAAACACUGUGUAUGUGUGUGUGUGGUGUAGAUAAUCUGCAUUAGUUACUGGUACAAGAUUAUUACUCACCCAUGAAGCAUGACUCAGAAAUACCUGCUUCUACCUGGAAAGUUGCAGUUGUCAUUGGGUUUCCCCAAAGGAAAUGAUGAGAAAUGACAGCAGUGGUGAAGAAAAAGACAUCUGCAGAUGGAGACUGUCCUCCCAAGAAAAAUGACAAUAUUGGUUCUUUAUGCAAGCGUCCCUAAACAGCUAACAUUCAGGUGAGAGCGUAAUUAUGACGGGAGCGAAGGAGGAAAUCAGGUGACGUUAUAGAUUGACAUAGGGAGGUCGGGGUGGAUGGACGAGUCAACAGAACAUCAGACUACCAACCAACAGUCAUUACUUUUUUUGGAAAACCAUAACAGGGAUCGCCUCUUAACCUUAACCACGUUGCUAUUGUAACCAUGACAAUUAAGGUCUCCUAACCUUAAAGACCCUCUCCACUUCAUAUCUUUAUGAAUAUUGUGAUUGCUGCCCUGAUGUGUAUUCACAUCUGGGAAAGGAUGUUCAGGUUUCUUUGUUGAGGUCCUACAGAUAAAAAUCAUACACACACAUCAUAAAACAUUUAUUUUUUUAAACAGUGAUGUGUAACAGUCUUGGAAGGCAGAGAUAUAUGAUGUUUUCCUGCUGAUGAGAACCGUCCAAUUUAGAGCAAGCAAGCAGCAGAUAAUAAAUGAUCUGUGUUGCUUCAUCCAUUUUUAUUUAAACUUCUCGGUUGGAGCACAAACAUCUCUUUCUAAUAAACUUAUUGUCCUAACAAACACCAAAAGGUCUUUGAGCUAACAAGUUUUUUCCCCCUUCAGUAACUCUUUAUUGAAUAAAAGGAUGCACAGUUCUCACAAUCCCAACCACCAAGUCUGCACAGAAAAUACAUUUAAA
Long non-coding RNA from Thunnus maccoyii (southern bluefin tuna), 1756 nucleotides. RefSeq lists it as uncharacterized. The record is from RefSeq and is a predicted model, not a curated record. The transcript is spliced from 3 exons. NCBI's taxonomy places the organism in Eukaryota, Metazoa, Chordata, Actinopteri, Scombriformes, Scombridae.